UUUUUUCAGUCUUAUGAAGUACCUUUUUGCCCACAUAGUUGAUGACUCGGAAAGGAGGAGAGAAUUUAACCACUCAGUUUUCUGACAUGUAACUGUGGAUCCUACUCAGUAGUUUCUCAAGGAGGCUGAAAACCAUAUUAGCUACAUUUAGGACAAACGUAAAUCACUCCAGGUAAACUAACUUUUUAAAGAAAAGUAAUAAUGCAUUACGGAGGCCUUGGCUAGGUUCAUGAUGACACAGGACCUUGUCUGAACAUAAUGAUUUUAAAACUUGAGCUCAAAUGACACUCUGAAAUCUAGUCAAUGUGCCUCAGUAGACUUUUUAGAGAAAAUUAUUUUCAACAGAAAAUUUUGGCUUACUGUGAGAACUUUGAAUACUUAGAAAUGACAGGGGUAGCAGUAUACUUUGCCAGUUCCUCAGACAAUCCUUUUUUUGUAAAUAUUCAUAAAUAUUCUGAGCUCAUUAUUUUUUCCCUUUUUUUAAAACAUGCCAUUGAAAGCAAAAAACGAAGCUCAUCUUUACAUCUCAGAAGGCACAUGCAUAUGCCGAGUGGAAGCAAGGGGGUAAGAAGAUCUCUUCUUGCUUAGUGAGAUGAUGAAGGCCCAAUAAGAGAGCAGUAUUUGAAAUACAGUUCCAAGGAUAUGUUUGUUCUAUAUGUGAAUGUUGAUUUACAGCUUCAGGUGUUAAUACAGCAAAUUCAUCUCUGCCAAAAGUGAGUAGACCGUAUAGAACAGCUACAGUAUACUCAUUCAACUUCUUAAAUGAUAGAAGAAGAAAACGUGCCUUGAGGAACGUUUUCCUUGUGCUCAAAGGGAUGUGGCAUCUUGGCCCUGGUAUCGUCUACUGACUGGAAUGCAAAUUAAAAAACAAUUUCAUUAGUUUGUUCUGCAUUCAGUUAUCACCUCAGUUUGUUUCUGGAACCCAUGUUGCUAACAUCACGUGUUUUCUUGUUGUUUAUAAUUUAUUGUCCAAUUAGCUAACAUACAGUGUAUACAGUGUAUGUAUACAGUGUAUACAGUAUAGUCUUGGCUUUGGGAAUAGAUUCCUGUGCUUCCUCACUUACUUACAAUACCCAGUACUCAUCCCAACAAUUGACAUCCUCAGUACACCUCACCCAUUUUCCCUGUCCCUAUAACCCCCUACCCCCCUCACCCUCAGCUUGUUCUUCGUAUAUAAGAGUCUCUUAUGGUUUGAUUUUUGCCUAUAAUUUAGGAAGUUCUAAUGUGGAAUAGUAAUGGUUAGUAGAUGACUAGACUGGGU
RNAcentral lists this long non-coding RNA (1261 nucleotides) under Suricata suricatta (meerkat). Its description in RNAcentral is "lncRNA (ENSSSUG00005014169.1)". The stretch from base 225 to 297 matches the Rfam family "Small nucleolar RNA SNORD107". Lineage: Eukaryota; Metazoa; Chordata; Mammalia; Carnivora; Herpestidae. The record is from RNAcentral.